AUGCUUACUUCGGCAGCACUUAUACUAAAAUUGGAACUAUACAGAGAAGAUUAGCAUGACCCCUGUGCAAGGAUGACAUGCAAAUUUGCAAAGCAUUCCAUAUAUUU
Molecule: small nuclear RNA, 107 nt
Organism: Orcinus orca (killer whale)
Lineage: Eukaryota; Metazoa; Chordata; Mammalia; Artiodactyla; Delphinidae
Source: RefSeq, a predicted model, not a curated record